This 68-nucleotide transfer RNA is filed under the name Hydraena pamphylia. RNAcentral's name for it is "transfer RNA-Leu". Lineage: Eukaryota; Metazoa; Arthropoda; Insecta; Coleoptera; Hydraenidae. The record is from RNAcentral. RNAcentral also lists the same sequence under 1 other name.
UUAAUAGUUAUUUUGGCAGAUUAGUGCAUUAAAUUUAGAAUUUAAUUAUGUAGUUUUACAAAUAAUAC